UUCCCCCUUAUAUAUUUAUAUAUGUAUAUAUGUGAGUGAAAAUUAAAAUAUUUUUAUAUUUAUAUAUUUUUAUAUAUAUAUAUAUAUAUAUAUAUAUAUAUCCUGUUCUAUUAGAAAUAAUAUCCUAUUAGUUCUUUCCCUCUAGAGAGCCCUAAUACAUGUGACAUUUGACCUAAUUCUGGGUAGUUAGGAUCAGAAUUGUACUGCAGACAUUAUGCUUGUUAACUAUUACUGAAAAACUGUUAGCAUUGUCUGAACUAUUAUCAAAUGCUUUUAGUUUUCCCAAGUGUUUUUUUACCUUAAACUUACUUUAUAUUUUAGAUUCUGAACCCACUUUACAUUCUAGAUUCUUAUUUGAUCAGUAAGCAUAGAAUUUUUGUAAAACUUGACCAGUAAUGGGCCAGUAAUGUGGCUUAGCACACUGUAAAUAUGUAUGCAUUACAAAAUCAUAUUUGCUCUUAUAUAAAUAAUUGCAAACACUAGCUUCCAUGUCCUCAUGACCCAUCACCCUCCUGGUUACAUCCAUGUGUUCAAGCCAGGGACGCUCUCCCAAGCCUUGGUAUAUGGUUUUUAUUGGAGUUUCACUAUGUAGCCCAUUGGAUUGAUUAAAUCAUUGGCCAUGUGACUGAACUUUAUCUUCAGCUUUCCUUCCUUCCCCAGAGGUUGGGUUGGUAUUGCAUGGCUCAAAGUUCCAAACCGCAUAGCUCAAAUUCCCAAACCUACGAUCACAUCAUUAAUCUUUCCAGCGUGGCCAGCCCCAACUCUAAAACUAACUACAUGGUUAUCAAGUCAUCAGGUUAUGCAUUUUGGCACUCAAAACCUUUGCUGUGUGUUUUCUUCCUAAUGAAACACUUGGUAAGUUUUCUCAGUUAUGCAUUUGAGCACAAAUAUUUAACAUUUUCACUUAUUCUGCUUUAUUGUGCCUAUCGAAUAUCCCUGUACUUGCCCAUUGAACCAGCUGUCUUAACAUUUGUAAACAGGUAAUGUAGCCUCACUGAUAUGACUGCUGUAUUUUUACUAUAACAUCAUUUAUUCAUUCAUCUUCACUGGGCCAAAUGUGAGCCUGGCCUUAUACUACUAGAUGCUGAGGAUACAAAAAGAAUAAACUAUAACCCCCACUCUUGAAGAACUUCCAGUCUAGGGAAGAUUUGCUAUGAUUGCUAUAUAAAAACACAUCACAUUAACCCUAAGUUUUCAGAAUAUUUCCACAUGGCAGUAGUGCUUCUAAAACCACAAUGUACAUAUGAACCAUCUAACGAUCUAGUUUUAAGAAAAAGGGUUUAAAUUCAGUGGGGUUGCGUGGGGCAUGAGAUUCUGUUCCAACACACUUCCAAGUGAUGCUAAUUCUGUUCCAACACACUUCCAAGUGUUGCUGAUCCAUGGACCAUACUUGGAGUGUCUUGGGUGUAGCAUACAAACUUUCAGAAGUUUUCAAUAUCAGGAUAUCUGAAAUUAUAAGAAUAAUUUUCAUCCAAGUUGUUCCAUUUGCUUUUCAAACUUCAUAUUCUCUGUGGCCUGACCCUAGCAAACUGAACAGCAAUCUUAUGUUGGAGAGUUGCUGGCAUAAGCAGAAAGAGUUUUUUAAUCAUUGUAGGUGUUUGAAAGAUUUAAUAUUCAUGACUUUCUCCAUAAAUGUUACCUUUUUAAAAAUCUUCAUGAAAGUAAGAUAAACCUGUAAUUCUCUCUCAGUCAUGGUCUGUUGUUUUAAUUUCAUGGCAUGUAGUUAAGAUAGUUUUUAUGCUAUUUUGUAGUGACACUAUGAAGAAAAUGUUCAUGUCAGUGAUUUACUGCUGUUUCAGAAUGAACUGUGAAUUAUAAGGGGUUAGGGAAGUAGAUCUUAACACUUAAGGGAUUCUUCUGAGUCUUUAAUCACAAAAAUGUGUUUUAUUAAAUAUCUUAAUCCUAUGAUAACCCCCCAAAUUUCUAAAACACAAUUAAUUAGACCAUUUUAAUCAGUUUUUACACAAUUGAUAAGAUUUAAAUAGAUAAUAUAAGUAAAGAUAUGCAGAUAAUUCACAAAAGAAAAUGAUAGCAAUAAGAGUUUUGAGUUUGAUUAUCAUAGAUCUCAUUAUAGGGCUCUUCCCUGUAUUAGUUUUCUCCUAGUACUAGUUACAGUGAAAGAAAUGAAAAGAUCAGUUAAAAUGUUUAUUGUGUUUCAUUUCUGACUCAAUAGUCUAUAAGCACAGGAAUUAACUGGAGUACCUAGGAAUUGAUUUUUUUCAUACAUUCCAAAAUUCAUUGUUACAUAUCUUAAUUGUAAUUGUUUAGAAUAUUUUUGUCUAUAAACGAAACAUUUCAUAAAUACAGGUAAUCGUCUUUUCUCUAGUUUCUAACUAUAAUUUAAUUGAUGAUGUUGGUCUAUAGUAUCUGUGUUAAGCAACACAGAACCAUAACAUCUCAGGACUGUUUGGAUACUUGGGCACCUAUCUUUAAAUCAGAGAAGACAUUUGAAAUGUCUGCUCUUAAGAAGGUCUGAUCUAACAAGAUGAGGCUGGGGGAAUUUACUGUAAGAUGCCUACGAAUCAUAGCCAAUUUGAGUCAUGUGUAGCCAGUUUGAAUCAUAUAGAUGUCCAUCCGUAAACAACUAGGAGUUAUGCUGGAUUCAGGAGACGCAUAGAACCAGAAGAGUUCAGUUCCACUGUUUAUACAGGUAAUUAUUGGUUAGGCCUAACUAGGUCCAUGGCUAGGGGACCAGUAAGAGUGUAAGAUUCACAGGCUGAUAGUCAUACACUGAAUUAAGAGAUGUAUUGUUUUAGGUGUUCCAGCCGUUUGGUAAAUUCUGCAAACUAACCUUACUAACAUACACUUUAUUUGUUCAUUUAUUUCUUAGCAGUGUGCCAUUCUCAUAAAACCAAAGCAUCGGUAGUGAUUUUUUUUUCAUAAUUCUAAGGGCUUAUCUAUUAACACAGUUUCUAGGAACAUCUAAUAGUUUGAUUAUUUUUUUCUCCUCUACCUCUGGGACUCCUAUGCAUGUUGGCAGUUCUGCUUUCAUCUACAUACCCCUAAGCUAUUCUCUCAUGGUUUCCAUCUCUGCUGUUUCUAGCUGCUUCUGAGAGAGCUUCUUGCUCUGAUCUUUCAGUGUGCUAAUUUGUUCUUCAUCUGUUCAGCCUGCUGUUUAUCCCAUUUGUCGUGGUGGUGUUUUUUAUAUUUCAACUCUUAUGUAUUCAGACCUAAUAUUUCUACCUGGACUUCUUAAAUGACUUAUUGGUUUUGCUUUAUGCUACCAGUAUUAUUCCUAAUUGUGUUAUCAUUACCAUGGUUAUUCUGUUUCUGAUGGUAGGUAUUUGUCUGUUGUCUUUAUUUUUUUAACAGUAAUUACACACUGUAGCAUAGCCAUUGUCAGUUUCUCUCCAAGCCUUCUCACUGCCUUCUGCACCUCGCUGCCUUUUCUGCUUCUAAUCCAUAACUCCAAGGUUAAGAUGGCCUCAGUCUCCCCAGAACAUCUCACUUUUGGUAUUGGGUUUUAUUUUUUUUUCCCUAGUAUUCACAUGUCUGUUUGUCUGAAUCAAAAUGUCUCUCUUCCUCUGUCUCUCUAUCUCUGUCUCCAUCUCUGUCUCCUCUCUCUCUCUGCCUCUCUCUGUCUCUCACCCUCUCUGCCUUCCUUUCUCCCUACCACGCCACCCUCCCCCAUCUCCUAUCUCCUAGGAUUGGUUUUGGAAUAAGCCAGCAGCGUAUUGUAGCUUACCAUCUUGACAGGAGCCAAAGCUAAUUAAAAGAGAAUUUCUCUCAACUCUUUGUCUUAGUGAUUUAUAUUACUAAUGAUUCUCAGAUUUGCCUUUCCAAUACAAAUGACUUGGCUGCUAUCUUUAUUCAAUCUAUUUUAGAAAUAUUGGUUCAUUUACCAAUUUUAAUUGGUAAAAUUUAAAUUUUGGCAGUAAAAUUUGUAAUGUUUUAUUACAAAUCUAAUUACUAACUUAAAUGUAAUUUUGAAAUAUUUUACUAACUUAAAUACAGAUUUCAAAUCUUCUAGGAGAAGACUAAGUAAUAGAAAUGUAAAACAGAAUUCAGUCCUUACAAUAACCAGAAAUAUAUUUUUCAUAUUAUGAUCAAUUAGGUAAGAUUGUUUUUAAUACAUAUGCAUAAUUGUGAUUUGAACGCUUUACCAUAAAGCUUUGAUUAUUUGAGAUGAUACCAAUUAGUAUACUUUGUAAGAUAUCCCAAUUUUGCUGUUGUCUAUUGCAUAUUAUUUGUACAAAAUCCUGUGAAACAGGCAGGGAAGAAGUAGUGUGUAUUUUGAAGACAUGGAAACAGACCAACAGACCUCAAGAAUACAAAUGGUGUACCUAAGGUUCACACAUAGUAAAUGGCCUAACGCACCUAAACCAGUUUCUUAGACUCUGAUGCCUCACUGACAACCCACCAUUCUACAACUCCUGCUCUUUCCACCCUCUACAGCACCAGGUUAGGACUGACAUCCUCGCCAGCUGUUUGUGCCCUUUCAGAAUCCUGACACUGCCUUCCUUCUCAGGCCCACUUAAAGGGAGCAAGAUUUUAUCCAAGGAAGGACUUUUGUGGAUAAGCCUGCUGUCAUAUCUACUAACCUGCCUAAGCAGAUUAGCAGCUUCACCCAGGCUUUUGGAGAAUGCACAGACAGAGGUGAAAGAAGAAGGGAUUUCCUGCCUGCCAUCCCCAGUCAGCUAGAUCCACCUGUGCAUGAGUGAGAUGACAGCCUAUUUUAUAGGUAGACACUUCAAGUCAUCUACCAGCAGGUAAUGGGACUCAACCAUAGAGAGAGGUGUUUAGGGGCAACUGGGAGUGGGAGAUAGAAUCCAAGGACCAGUCAGGAUUUUACGUUGAAUUGAAGUGAGAUACUUUGUAAAGGAGCCAAGGCAAAAUGUAAUCAAGAUAGAGAGGAUAUCACUGGAAAUACAAUGCAAAACAGAAGCAUAAUCAUGGAGAAAAAAAUGUAGAGAAUGUAGGCUCCUAAGUCAGAGAAGAAGCAAAGGGAAUCUGAUUUGCUUAGCUGUGAACUCCUAGGUCAUUUUGUCUCUCCCAGCAAGAGAUCCAGUUGGGACUACAGAUGGUCCCCAAUUUACUAUGGUUUGACUUAUGAUUUCUUGGCUUUAUGAUCAAGAUUGUGUGAGAGUGACACACAUUCUGUAGAAACUGCUCCUCGAGUACCCAUGCAACCAUUCUACUUUCACUUUCAAUACAGUAGUCAAUAAAUUACACAGAAUAUUCAACACUUUAUUAUAACAUAGACUUUGUGAUAUGUGACUUUGCCCAACUGUAGACUACUGCAAGUAUUUAAGCACAUUUAUGGCAGGCUGGGCUAUGCUAUGAUGUUCCAUAGGUCAAGUGUAGUAACUGCAUUUUCAAAAUAGGAUAUUUUCAACUUACGAUGGGUUAAUGAGGAUGUAACCUAUCAUAAGUCAAGGAACACCUAUAAACUUAAAGCUGGAGCAGAGAUUACAAAUAAUUAACAGUGGAAAUUUUUAAAAUAUGGAAUGUAAGUGCCCAAUCAGAAAUUGUGCUUAGGGAUUUUAUGUGACUCUCCUGUGUUAGCUGGAAAUGUCACCACAAUAAGAAAGAGGAGACUCUAGAAUUAGGAGGCAAUACUUCUGAAUUAUUGUCAGUAAUGUGAUAAGAGUUAGCAUAAAUUGCUUGAUCUUACUGUGCUUCUCUCACAACACUGAAAACGGGGUGAUUAAAAAUGCCUCCUUCAUAUAAUUGAGUUUUCUUCAUUAUGAUAGUUUUGUUAAUAAGUGGUAUGUAAUUUGAAAUUGUAACAUUCAAAACGCAAAUUCCAUGAUCCUAAGCCUACCUAAGCAUACAACUUUGCUUAUGAAUAGACAUGACCAUUCAAGUGAUGUGGCUAUAAUACAAGAAGGCUUUAUUAUGCCCUUAUGAACAGACUUUUCCUGGAUGGCCGAGCACUAUCAUAAGGGGUCCAGCUCUGUUUCAAUGUGACAUUGAUACAGCUCCACUCAGUAGUUCCAUCUGAACUAACUCUUUCAGAAGGGUUAAUAGCAACAGUCCACGGACCCACUUGACCUCUCCACUUAAUUUUGAAAAGUAUGAAUUAUCCACAAUUGUAGCAACUACUGAGAAAAUUAUAAGCUUUCCUUUCCAUUUUUUUCCUAUGACACCAUUGACCAAAUAUGUAUGGAGCAAUUGGCAAGUCUCAUAUACAUAUCUAUGUAUAUGAGAUAGAUUAUAUAUCUAUCUCACAGCUCCUUCACUCAGUUAUCUCAAAGUUUAGUGAGAAGCAGGCAUAGGGUUAUGGCAUGUUAAUUUCUAUAAUGUGAAUUGUGCAUGAAGUGUAAUAGGACUAUUCUUUAAGCAAGUCCAGGUAAGACGUCAUGACAAUCUAAAUACACAGGCAUUGAAACUGGUGAAGAUGGAACCAAUAAUAGGGAUAUCUAAGGAUAAUUGAUAGCAGGGGAAUGAGGGAGAGAAGCCAUCUUAGACUGACUUUUGUGGUUCUGACUUGGAAAACUGGAUGAAUCUUACUCGCUGAGAUAAGCAAUUGAGAAAGACUAUAUUUGUCGGUGGGGAGAGAGCGGGUUGAAGCAUAGUUUUGGACAUGACUGAGUUUAAUGUCUUGCUUUGGAACCUCCAGAUGAGCAAUUUUGAAAGCAAUGAGAAUAUGCAGUUUCAGGGGCCUGGGAAUCUGCAUUUUUGAGUCAGUCAUUUGUUUAUGAGUUAAAAUAAUGAGCAUGAGUAAAAUUGCCAAUGUUGUUGUUUUUUUAAGUGAAGAGAGUGUUUACAAAGACUGAGGAACACUGAUGUUCCAUGGUGAACAGAGCAACAGGGACCUGCACAGGGACUGAAAACAAGAGGAGAGAGGAGGAGAGCGUGAUUUCAAGGAGCCAAAACGGGUAGAGCCAAGUCAAAAUGGAACAGAACUGUCCACUAAGAAGAAAUGGAAUCUGUGAUUCUGCAGGACAGAAUGGUCUGUACCAGAGAUGAAGUCAUCAGUCUACAGAUGGUCAUGGAAUUGAGUGAAAGCAAUCACCCAGCGUCAGGCAAGGCGUCAGAGCCCCAACAUCAGAAUGAUCGACUGGCAGGUUGGUAAGAAGAAUUUACUACUGACAGUAUAGUACUGAAAAAGGAAAGUUUUAUUAGGUAGAAAGAACGUUGUUGAAGAGUGCAGCUGCAGCAGGGUACCUCAGCAAGAGAGGAUGGAGUGCAACACAAUGGAUUCUUCCUCAGGAGUAUUUACAGACCUUAAAGCAGGAGCUGAAGGGUAAUUGGAACUAUAUUAGCCUCAUAGGUCAUGAUAAAUGAUUACAUUUGUAGACAUUUUUGUGUCAGCAAGGUUUGCACAAUGGGUUUCAGCAUGCAUGCAUUCUGGAGAUGUAUAGAAACUCUAGUUACUUAUACAUUUGUGGAGUAAAGAAGCUUCGAACCAGAUGCUGGCUUUAGAUAAUAGAGAAGUGUAAUUUAUACAGGAGAUAGAAAUCAUUUAGGCAGGUAGUAAGUGCAAGGUUCUUUGAACUGACUGCACCAAGGACUACACCAUAGUCAAGCCAUGGUGACCCCUGUGACCCACACACACUCCUCCAGAUGGCCUCCUGGUGCCAAAAAGUCAAAGGUAACAAAAACUGCAAAAGGAGAAUAGCUAGCCCAUGCAGUGCCUGAUUAACUGACCUUGUGACAUUCCACCAUUGUCCCUGCCUCAACUGAUAAGUCGGCCUUUGUGACCCUGGACCCUGUGGCCUGAUUAACCAACCUUGUGACAUUCUACCACUGUUCCUGCCUCAACUUAUAGAUCAAUCUUGUGACAUUGGAUCCCAUGACACCCACCUCCCCUGGCUUGCAAAAAAACUGCGCUAAACUGUAACUUUCCAUUACCUAUCCCCAACCUAUAAAACUAGCUCCUAUCUCACCACCCCUCUACUAACUAUCUUUUCGGAUUCAACCCACUCACCCCCGAGUGAAUAAACAGACUUGUUGCUCAAACAAAGCCUGUUUAGGUGGUCUGUUCAUUCAGAGCAUGCUUAACAGUAAGGGUAACAGAGUCCUUGGCGGAAUGUCCCUUUUAACAAAAAGAAGCCCUGAAAUCAUUUCUUUUCUAACAAAGAGCAGCCUGAAAAAAUUGAGCUGCAGACAGAGAUAAGCAAGCUGGAAACUUGCACUGGUGAAUGCCAGCAGCUGUGUCAAUAGAAAAUAGCUACCUGAGGGCGAGGCAUGUUGAACAUGGAGGCUCCAUCUUCACUUUCUUUGUCACCACGUGUACAGUAAAGAACCAGGCAACAUGGCGCCAACCCAGUAGAAAACCCAUCUGCAUAAUAAAAGAUUAGGGUAGGGAAGCCAGCUUCUUCGGUGCUAUGCGUAUGGGACAACUGGUCCAACCAGUCCUUCAUGCCCUAUGUAAAUCAGACAUUGUCCCCUCAAGCUCAUCUAUAAAACCUGCAUUCUACUGGGGAAGCCACAACCCAUUUUCUCUGGGACCAUUCUCUGCACAGAGAGCUCUUAUCUUUCUUCCGCCUAUUAAACUUUUGCUCUUAACUGCACUGUUUGUGUACUGGCAUCCUAGUUUUCCAUGGCCAUGAGACAAUGAAUCCCAGGUAUUUACCUCAGACAGUGACACCACUUCAUAAUUACUUGUAAGUUCCUCAGAUAAGGAGUUUUGUCUGUGAGCCACCUGCUUGAUGGUCACCAGGUGAUCUUUGCUGUCCUCACCGAGGAGAUGUCAUGUAUACCGGGAGGGGAGGAGACCUAAGGACAGAACUCAGGGAAACAGCCUCCAAUGGGCAAGCAGAGGGAGGUGAUCCUCCAAGGGGCUUAAAGAGAACUGGAAAGAGAUAGCUGGGAGACUGGUGCCAUGGAAGGCAAGAAAAAAGGAUUUUAUAUUCUGGUGAAGAAUGUUAAGUAUUUUGCUUCUUCGUUUCUACAGUAUUUUUUUUUUUAAUUAUAAGAAAAGAUGAAAUCAGGUGCCAUAUAUCUUCUAUCUUUGAAAUAGUAAAAAAUGUAGCUGAGUUAAAUCAAUCUAAUGAUAAUGGACUGCCAAGUAAGAAUUAAUUUAAAGAUUGUUGUAUUCAACUUCUCAGCACUAGAGUCUAGAGAAGAAAUACUGCUGGCAUCUCCUGGUGUGAUUUACCACACCAUCAUAGCUUAUGUAUUUCUGAACUUCUGAGAGAAAAAGUAAAGCAAUAUAACGUGCACUCGCCUUAGAGUCAGAAGGCCUGAGUUUAAAAUAUCAUUCCUGUCACUUAACAGCUGUGGACAAAUCAUUUAACCUCUCUGAGGUCCGAUAGGGAGAUGGCAAAUUCUGGAAAUUAAAUAUGUUGAAUAUAACGUUUUAAUAAUUCAGUUUGUAUUUCUCAACUCUUGUAGUCAUUGCAUACUUGCAAGUACUAGAAAGUUUGAUGGCAUUCUGGAGAUUAGCUAGUAUUUUCUUUUAGCAUAAUACCUGUUUAGAGGCAGCACAGAGGUGCCUCUGAGAUCAUAGAAGUUCCUCCCCUCUUCAUGAAGGUUCUGUUACAAACACAUGCAGAGGCCAAAUGGCUGAGAAACUCUUAACUAUGCCCAUUUUAAGUAUAAUAAUUGGUGUGCAACUUAGCAUUUUAAUUAAAUCCUGUUUUUUUAAAAUUGAAAUUUCCCCAAAAUUAUCUAUAGGAUUGUUGAAUGUUUACUUCCUUUUGUAGGUUUUCUGAUAUAUAGUAGAAACAUAACAAUGGUCUUCCUCUCCCCCAUCAACCCCAGUCUGUCAAUAUCUCACUGCAGCUGGAAGGUGACCUCCACAUUAUAUCCUAAACCUGUGUAAUAAAUAAUAGUAGAUGUCUAAAGCUCAUCACAAGAGCAGAUGAAGUGGUACAUAGCACACUGUUCUUUUGGAAUUUCCACAUUAGGGAACUCUGGCAGACCAUUUGUUACCUUAGUCAUUUGGAAGGGUGAAAAAGAUAAUUUGAAUCUUGGAAAGGAUCAACCUGAAAGCAAAGCACACUUGACACACCAAACUGGAACUUUGUUUUUUAUUGUGUUUUUCUUUUAGACAGGUUCAUCGAGAUUAGGCAUAAUUUAGUAAAAUCACUCUUUUCCACAUAAGAUUCUAUGGAUUUUGACAAACACACACAGCAGUGUAACAUAUAGUCCUAUCACUACAAAGGACUGAGUACUGUAACAUCCUCAUCCCUUUGUAAUCAACCUUUCUACCCAAUCAUCUCCUGGAAACCAAUGAUAUAAUUUCUGCUUCUAGAGUUUUGCCUUUUCCAAAAUGUCAUAUAAAGUAGAAUCAAGCAGUGUGUCCAACCGUUUGAGCCUGGCUUCUUUCAUUUAGCAUAAUACAUUUGGAAUUCAUCCAUAUCACAUCAAGUGUCAGUGGUACAUCCCUUUUCAUUGCUGAGUAGUAUUUCAUUGUAUGAAUGUACUGCAGCUCAUCAUUUUGCCUGUUGAUGAACAUUUUGGAGUGUUUCCAAUUUUGGUGAUUACAAAUAAAGUUGCUAUAAAUGUUUAUGAAUAGGUUUUUAUGUGGACAUAUUUUAUUUCCCUUAAAUACCUAGAAGUGAGAUUUUCAUGUUAUGUGUUUAACUUUAUCAGAAGCUUUCAAACUGUUUUCCUGAGUGGCAUUCCCUUCAAUUGUGUGUGAGGGCUCCAGUUGUUCUGUAUCCUUACCAACACUUGAUAUUAUAAAACUUUCAUUUGUUAACCAUUCUGAUAGGUAUACAAUGGUAUCAUUUCAUUGUUGUUUUUGUAUGCAUUUUCCUAAUAAAUAUGUUGUUGAGUAUU
This is a long non-coding RNA of Sapajus apella (tufted capuchin), 10674 nucleotides long. RefSeq lists it as uncharacterized. The transcript has 2 exons. NCBI's taxonomy places the organism in Eukaryota, Metazoa, Chordata, Mammalia, Primates, Cebidae. The record is from RefSeq and is a predicted model, not a curated record.